Molecule: long non-coding RNA, 204 nt
Filed under: Elaeis guineensis (African oil palm)
Lineage: Eukaryota; Viridiplantae; Streptophyta; Magnoliopsida; Arecales; Arecaceae
Description: long non-coding RNA (EGUI_LNC081312)
Source: RNAcentral
GUAUCCGAUCUGUAGGAGUCAUCCACACAAGCCCACGAAUCACGAGCAGAAGUCUUGAUCCAGGAAAUCAGCACAGUAUGCUAGUACUGUGCUGAUCCUUCUUCGAUAGUCGAUCAGAUGCCUCUUUAUUCUUGAUUUAGAUUCUUCCAAAAAUGAAAAGUAGGAAAAGAAGUUUUAGAUGUGAGACACUCUCAUAAAACUCAC